ACUCGUCAGAGCGAGUAUAAAUAGCUUUUUAGGCUCUGAAGCGUACC
This 47-nucleotide ribozyme is filed under the name marine metagenome. RNAcentral describes it as "Pistol ribozyme". It matches the Rfam family "Pistol ribozyme", at positions 1 to 45 of the family's 68-position model. The record is from Rfam by way of RNAcentral.